UCGAUUAGUUUGAUCAUGGCUCAGGAUUAACGCUAGCGGCGGGCCUAAUACAUGCAAGUCGUACGGGAUUUCGGGUAGCAAUAUCUGAAUGAGAGUGGCGCACGGGUGCGUUACACGUAUGCAAUCUACCUUUAACUGGGGAAUAGCUCACCGAAAGGUGAAUUAAUACCGCAUAAAAUCACAGAAGGACAUCCUUCAAUGAUUAAACCUACGGGGGUUAAAGAUGAGCAUGCGUCCGAUUAGCUAGUUGGCGGGGUAAUAGCCCACCAAGGCAACGAUCGGUAGGGGGUCUGAGAGGAUGAUCCCCCACACUGGUACUGAGAUACGGACCAGACUCCUACGGGAGGCAGCAGUAAGGAAUAUUGGACAAUGGGGGCAACCCUGAUCCAGCCAUGCCGCGUGAAGGAUUAAGGCCCUAUGGGUCGUAAACUUCUUUUACAGGAGACAAAACCCCUCUACGUGUAGAGGGCUGAUGGUACUCUGAGAAUAAGGGUCGGCUAACUUCGUGCCAGCAGCCGCGGUAAUACGAAGGACCCGAGCGUUAUCCGGAUCUAUUGGGUUUAAAGGGUGCGUAGGCGGAUUUACAAGUCAGUGGUGAAAUCUCCCAGCUUAACUGGGAAACUGCCAUUGAAACUAUUUAUCUUGAGUACAUUUGAGGCGGGCGGAAUGUGUCAUGUAGAGGUGAAAUUCUUAGAUAUGACACAGAACACCAAUUGCGAAGGCAGCUCGCUAAACUGUAACUGACGCUGAGGCACGAAAGUGUGGGUAGCAAACAGGAUUA
Molecule: ribosomal RNA, 781 nt
Filed under: uncultured bacterium
Lineage: Bacteria
Description: bacterial SSU rRNA
Rfam family: Bacterial small subunit ribosomal RNA
Source: RNAcentral